UGAGGGAUGAAGGUCUUCGGAUUGUAAACCUCUGUCAUCUGGGAACAAAGCGCUCCACCUAACACGUGGAUUGUUGAUAGUACCGGAAGAGGAAGCAGUGGCUAACUCUGUGCCAGCAGCCGCGGUAAUACAGAGACUGCAAGCGUUGUUCGGAUUCAUUGGGCGUAAAGGGCGCGUAGGCGGUCGGGUAAGUCGGAUGUAAAAGCUCACAGCCCAACUGUGAUAGGUCAUUCGAAACUGCCCGGCUCGAGGAAUGGAGAGGAGACUGGAAUGGUCGGUGUAGCGGUGAGAUGCGUAGAGAUCGACCAGAACACCGGUGGCGAAGGCGGGUCUCUGGACAUUUCCUGACGCUGAGGCGCGAAAGCCAGGGGAGCAAACGGGAUUAGAUACCCCGGUAGUCCUGGCCCUAAACGGUGUUCACUUGGUGUGCGGGGAGUCGACCCCCUGCGUGCCGUAGCUAACGCGAUAAGUGAACCGCCUGGGAAGUACGGUCGCAAGAUUA
Molecule: ribosomal RNA, 502 nt
Filed under: uncultured bacterium
Lineage: Bacteria
Description: bacterial SSU rRNA
Rfam family: Bacterial small subunit ribosomal RNA
Source: RNAcentral